This 467-nucleotide ribosomal RNA is filed under the name uncultured bacterium. RNAcentral's name for it is "partial 16S ribosomal RNA". It matches the Rfam family "Bacterial small subunit ribosomal RNA", at positions 28 to 506 of the family's 1533-position model. The record is from RNAcentral.
GACGAACGCUGGCGGCGUGCUUAACACAUGCAAGUCGAACGGAAAGGCCCUGCUUUUGUGGGGUGCUCGAGUGGCGAACGGGUGAGUAACACGUGAGUAACCUGCCCUUGACUUUGGGAUAACUUCAGGAAACUGGGGCUAAUACCGGAUAGGAGCUCCUGCUGCAUGGUGGGGGUUGGAAAGUUUCGGCGGUUGGGGAUGGACUCGCGGCUUAUCAGCUUGUUGGUGGGGUAGUGGCUUACCAAGGCUUUGACGGGUAGCCGGCCUGAGAGGGUGACCGGCCACAUGGGGACUGAGAUAGGGCCCAGACUCCUCGGGGAGGGAGGAGGGGGGAAUUUUGCAAAAGGGGGGGAAGCCUAAGGAAGCAACGCCGGGGGGGGGAUGACGGCCUUGGGGUGGUAAACCGUUUUCGCCUGGGACGAAGCGUGAGGGACGGUAAUGGGUAAAGAAGCACCGGCUAACUACGU